ACGAGGGUUACACUGUCUCCUCUCCCUAAUCAGUGAACCUGAUCUCCCCGUGAAGAAGCGGGAAUCACUCUAUAAGACGAGAAGACCCCAUGGAGCUUUAAACUUAACUGCAACCCAAUAACAUAAACCCCCAAAAUCAAUAAAGUUAUGCAUGUUAGUUUUAGGUUGGGGUGACCGAGGAGUAAAAAUCAACCUCCAUGACGAAAAGAACUAAAUCUUUACCCAAGAAAUACAUUUCUAAGGAUUAGAAUACUAACGAAUAUGACCCGAUAAUCGAUCAACGAACCAAGUUACCCUGGGGAUAACAGCGCAAUCUACUUCGAGAGCUCAUAUCGACAAGUAGGCUUACGACCUCGAUGUUGGAUCAGGGUAUCCCAGUGGUGCAGUCGCUACUAAAGGUUCGUUUGUUCAACGAUUAAAACCCUACGUGAUC
The sequence is a ribosomal RNA, 433 nucleotides long. It matches the Rfam family "Bacterial large subunit ribosomal RNA", at positions 2004 to 2605 of the family's 2925-position model.